ACAGGUCUUGACAUCCGAUGCUAUUUCUAGAGAUAGAAGUUACUUCGGUACAUCGGUGACAGGUGUGCAUGGUUGUCGUCAGCUCGUGUCGUGAGAUGUUGGGUUAAGUCCCGCAACGAGCGCAACCCUUAUUGCUAGUUACCAUCAUUAAGUUGGGGACUCUAGCGAGACUGCCAGUGAUAAACUGGAGGAAGGUGGGGAUGACGUCAAAUCAUCAUGCCCCUUAUGACCUGGGCUACAAACGUGAUACAAUGGCUGAAACAAAGGGCAGCGAAGGAGCGAUCUGGAGCGAAACCCAAAAAAGCAGUCUCAGUUCGGAUUGAAGUCUGCAACUCGACUUCAUGAAGUCGGAAUCGCUAGUAAUCGCGGAUCAGAACGCCGCGGUGAAUACGUUCUCGGGGUUU
RNAcentral lists this ribosomal RNA (404 nucleotides) under uncultured Acholeplasma sp. RNAcentral's name for it is "bacterial SSU rRNA". It matches the Rfam family "Bacterial small subunit ribosomal RNA", at positions 974 to 1382 of the family's 1533-position model. The record is from RNAcentral. Lineage: Bacteria; Bacillati; Mycoplasmatota; Mollicutes; Acholeplasmatales; Acholeplasmataceae.